GGGGCUAUAGCUCGGUUGGUAGAGUGCUUGCUUCGCAUGCAUAAGGCCCUGGGUUCAAUUCCCAGCACCA
Ictidomys tridecemlineatus (thirteen-lined ground squirrel) is the source of this 70-nucleotide non-coding RNA. The record is from Rfam. NCBI's taxonomy places the organism in Eukaryota, Metazoa, Chordata, Mammalia, Rodentia, Sciuridae.